This 145-nucleotide ribosomal RNA is filed under the name Gambusia affinis (western mosquitofish). RNAcentral describes it as "5.8S ribosomal RNA (ENSGAFG00000001889.1)". It matches the Rfam family "5.8S ribosomal RNA". Rfam says of the family: 5.8S ribosomal RNA (5.8S rRNA) is a component of the large subunit of the eukaryotic ribosome. It is transcribed by RNA polymerase I as part of the 45S precursor that also contains 18S and 28S rRNA. The record is from Rfam by way of RNAcentral. Lineage: Eukaryota; Metazoa; Chordata; Actinopteri; Cyprinodontiformes; Poeciliidae.
AACUCUUAGCGGUGGAUCACUGGGCUCGUGCGUCGAUGAAGAACGCAGCUAGCUGCGAGAACUAGUGUGAUUUGCAGGACACAUUGAUCUGCGGUGUUUUCGAAGCGAACUCAACGCUGCUCUGUAGAAACUUGUUUUGAAAUAA